RNAcentral lists this ribosomal RNA (508 nucleotides) under uncultured bacterium. RNAcentral describes it as "partial 16S ribosomal RNA". It matches the Rfam family "Bacterial small subunit ribosomal RNA", at positions 28 to 523 of the family's 1533-position model. The record is from RNAcentral.
GAUGAACGCUAGCUACAGGCUUAACACAUGCAAGUCGAGGGGGAACGACAUCGAAAGCUUGCUUUUGAUGGGCGUCGACCGGCGCACGGGUGAGUAACGCGUAUCCAACCUGCCCACCACUUGGGGAUAACUUUGCGAAAGUAAGACUAAUACCCAAUGACGUCUCUAGAAGACAUCUGAAAGAGAUUAAAGAUUUAUCGGUGAUGGAUGGGGAUGCGUCUGAUUAGCUUGUUGGCGGGGUAACGGCCCACCAAGGCGACGAGCAGUAGGGGUUCUGAGAGGAAGGGCCCCCACAUUGGAACUGAGACACGGUCCAAACUCCUACGGGAGGCAGCAGUGAGGAAUAUUGGUCAAUGGACGAGAGUCUGAACCAGCCAAGUAGCGUGCAGGAUGAUGGCCCUAUGGGUUGUAAACUGCUUUUAUAAGGGAAUAAAGUGAGAGUCGUGACUCUUUUUGCAUGUACCUUAUGAAUAAGGACCGGCUAAUUCCGUGCCAGCCGCCGCGGUAA